Molecule: long non-coding RNA, 4477 nt
Filed under: Oryza sativa (Asian cultivated rice)
Lineage: Eukaryota; Viridiplantae; Streptophyta; Magnoliopsida; Poales; Poaceae
Description: long non-coding RNA (OSAT_LNC001404)
Source: RNAcentral
AUCCACGUCGGCCCCGUGCUCCGCCUCCGGUCGCCGGCGGCGGAGGCGCUGGGGCCGACCCACGUCCUCCACUCCCGCUACGCCACCAAGCCCGACCUGGCGGCGUACGCGGCGCACCCGGCGCACGUCGCCGCCGUGCAGGGGCACGUCCUCCCCAACGCGCUCGACACCACCGCCAUCGACUGGGUCAACGCCGCGCUCGCGCCGUCCCCGGUCACCCCGGGCUCCGCCGUGCGGCUCACGCUGGCGAAGGUGAAGGAAGGUGUGGAGGUGCCCCAGCUCGUGGAGAAGGUCGCCGCGGCGACGGCGGCGGCGGGCGAGGCGAAGGGCGCCAGGGUGAGCUUCGGGGAGAACUUCUCCCCCGCGCGGGCUAAGGGGUACCAGUUCGGGAUGGUGGCGGUGUUCGACAGCGUGGAGGAGCUCGACGCGGUGGAGGGGGACGGGAAGGUGCAGGAGGCCAAGGCGGCGGUGAGGCCACUGCUCGACGAGGUGCUCGUGCUGGACUUCGUCGUCGGACCUGCCGCCGUGGAGGCUCCGGCGCCGGCCAACCUCUGAGAGGUUUGCCUUCGGUUUGGAAACUCUUAGUUGCCUUGUUCAAUCGAUCGAGAAUAAUGCAAUCCUUGUGAUUGGGUGUGCUGCUGCUGCUGUGGCGUGUGAUUGGCAAUGGCAAUUGAUUUUGGAAUGAAUAAGAAUUGUACCUGACUACCUGAACUAGGAAUUAGGAUGGCCGCUCUUGCUUGGAUCGUCGUGUACCAAGAAAGAGCUUGCUGCCUUCAGUGUUCAUCUUUCUCUUGUCGCGCUGCCUACAAAUGUGCAUGUCAGAUAGUCUUGUUAACCACAACUCGGUGCUAUGCCUCUCAUGCCUCCCCAUUAAGCAUGAAGGAACCACUGACAUGCCACUGGACAAUCUUUUAGUAUCAUGCACCCGUAGAAGUAUUUUAGUCUUGCUCCAAUUCUGCCUUGUGAAAUCCUCAUAGGCAUGAUUUAUGGAACAUGUGCCUUUGUGAUUGUAGAGUAUUAUACGCAAUAAUCGCUGUUGUCGGAAUCGGAUGUCCGGGUUACUACAUUUUGAGCAGUUUUGAUGACUUUGGCCAUGUUAAAGUUGAGGAGGUCAGUCCAUUCAAUAGUACAGAGGACCUUUUUUUAGUGGUAAUAGUGAUCUUGCUGAACGCAUCAGGUUUGACAGUAAUAGUUUUGGUCAUUCAUUCCUAUUGAGAUCGACUAUCUUGCUGAAUGAAACUGAUUACAUAAUUUCUCAUUGUGAUUUUAACAGCUCUAGAAUUGUUGCACGUGGUAUUGCCCUCGAUGACUCUCAGCUUGAUGACCAUUCUGAAAGUGAUAGUUCUAGUAUAGGCACUGCAGCACAACCAUCCCCAAUUAGGAACAGUCCUUCAAGAAGCUUGAGUUUUUCUCAUUUGUCAAGGUUGAGAGGCAGAGUUCAUACCUUGUGGGAAUGGGUUCUUCGGAAAUGGCCUUCGGUAUGAAAUUAUUCUAAUUUGUGUUUGCCAUCCUUUUCUUAUAGCAGAAAAACUCUCUUGAUUUAGUCAUAGGGAAAUGUUUCUGUAGAGUUAAGGUUGUAGUAACACUAUGAAAAUGCAUUUCUUGCCUAACAUCUAUAUAAUCUUAUGUUUGACACAUCAUGUAAAUUUUGGAAUGAGUUUGAGGACCAAUAAGUUUUGAUAGAUAGGGUGACGAGUAACAAAUGAAGAGUUCUGUUUCUUAGUACUGCUCAGUGGCUAAAGUCAUGAAACCUGAACUUAUUGUGAGGCAAUUAGAAAAAUUAAAUUACCAUAAUACAACUUAUUGGUAAAUACCAACCCAGUUUAUCAUAACAUCUAACAGAACAUCUCCAGUGAAUUGUGCAAUUCACUGUCAUAUGAGAACUCUAUCAUACUCUACUCAAUUGAAAUUGCUACGUCCAUUUCAAUCAUUUAUUUCAUUUAUGGUAGGAUGCAACACCAUGAUACUAUCAAGCCUUAAUUAAUUGAUGGCUUAGUUAGAGUUGGUCUUAUAUUCUUUUUUUAUCACCUCAAUUGAAUCUGUAGUAACUGUUUGAUAUUUGAUUACACUUGGACGUUUCCAAUUUGUUGCAGGAUUGUAUUAUCAUUUACCAAAGCGAGCAGCUGGCAUUCGUUAUGUAUUCAUUGGGAAGCCAAUGAUUCAGAGGCCCAGGUACUCUCCUUUAUUUUGCUCAUCUAGGAGUACCUUUUAUACUACGGCCGAGUUUAGUUCCAAACUUUUUCUUCAAACCUCCAACUUUUCCAUCACAUCAAAACUUUUCUACACACACAAACUUCUAACUUUUCUGUCACAUUGUUCCAAUUUCAACCAAACUUCCAAUUUUGGCGUGAACAUGAAACAUAUCAUACAAACAUUAGACUAUGAAACACCUGCAAUAAAUGAGUUUGAGAAUGCAGAUGAUGAGUCUUUUCAUGAUCUACAGUUUUUUUUGGACAUCUUCACAUGUUUUACUUCCCUUUGGGAGCUUAAAAUUCUCCAGCAGAUCAUAUUUAACUCAUCGGAUUUUGCAGGUAUCAAAUCUUGGGUAUUUUUUUGUUAAUUCAGUUAUGUAUUCUCGGUGCUGAAAGGCUUCGAAGAAGUAAUUUAUCAACAAUUGCUAGUUCGAUUAAUCAAAUCUCAUCUGGAAGCUAUCCUUCAUCGAGAGGUGGCACUUUCUUUUUCUGAAUUUAUGAAACCGGUUUUGGUUUUAUGCCAAUGCUUUGUGUUUACUUGUUACAUGGGUAUAAAAUGUUCCAAUAUUACCUUUGUGAAUGGGAAACAGGUCGAGGUGUCACAUCGAAUAUUUGGACACAUGCAUGGAGUAUUAAAUAUAUAUAAAAAAAUUAAUUACACAGAAUACAUGUAAAUUGCGAGACAAAUCUUUUAAGUCUAAUUGCUCCAUGAUUUAACAAUAUGGUGCUAUAGUAAACAUUUGCUAAUAACGGAUUAAUUAUGUUUAAUAAAUUCGUCUCGUAGUUUAUAGGCAGAACCUGUAAUUUGUUUUGUUAUUAGUCUUCAUCUCAUACUUCAAAUAUUUGUCCGUAUAUUCAAUGUGACAUGCUAAAACUUUUCACCCCUAAACUACACAGGGCCUUUAGGCUGUGUUCGCGGGAGGAUGUUCCCAACCAGCCGUUAGCGCACGGAAAACGGAACGAUCUAUUAGCACGUGAUUAAUUAAGUAUUAGCUAAUUUUUUUUUAAAAAAUGGAUCAAUAUGAUUUUUUAAGCAACUUUCGUAUAAAAACUUUUUGCAAAAAACAUACCGUUUAGCAGUUUGAAAAACAUGCGCGCGGAAAACGAGGGAGAUGAGUUGUGAAACUUGGGUAAGAACACACCCUUAAUUAAUCUCGCGUUAAUAGACCGCUCCGUUUUCCGUGCUAACUGUUCCGGUUGGGAACUGGAAAUAGCGAACACAAUCUUAGGGUGUGUUUAGUUCACGCCAAAAUUGAAAGUUUGGUUGAAAUUGGAACAAUGUGAUAGAAAAGUUGAAAGUUUAUGUGUGUAGAAAAAUUUUGAUGUGAUGAAAAAGUUAAAAGUUCGAAGGAAAAGUUUGGAACUAAGUCCUCAGUAGAGUUGGAGUGUGGCAAAGCAAAAGACCGAACCUGUUUGUCACAGGUGCCACCAACCCUCUCAUCCGGCGGCUGCCCAACAGAGAAUCCAGCAUGGUUUCUCGGUUUCUCCAUCCUUUUCCCAUUUUGAAUGCAAUCCACCUCAAAUUUCUCUCUCCCGUAACGCCAUCCAUGACGCCGGCUUUGCUCUGCCCGUACACAAACAGCCAUACUAUACUACCAGCAAGUUACUAUGGAGUACUUGCAAACCACUACUCCAUCCAUUCCAACUUGCUUCAUCUUCAUCUUUCCCACCUCCAUCACCUCACCAACAGCACCAGCGCAGGUCGCUGUCUCCGAAAUAUCAUUUCGUUUUUAAUUAUCUUUUCCUCCCCUUCGCUAAUCACCAUGAUUUGCCUCCGAGCCGCCUUCCCCUUGACCUCCUCCCCUCUCCGCCGCCUCGCCCUCAAGCCCUCCUCCUCCCGCGCCGCCGCCGCCGCCAUGUCGUCCGCCAUCGCCGCGCCGGUCGAGCACAUCGUGCUCAUCAAGGUCCGCCCGGAGGCGGCGUCGUCGGGCGCCGCCGCGGCGAUGGUGUCAUCGCUGCAGGCGCUGUCCACGGCGGUGCCCGGGCUGUCGUACAUCCACGUCGGCCCCGUGCUCCGCCUCCGGUCGCCGGCGGCGGAGGCGCUGGGUCCGACCCACGUCCUCCACUCCCGCUACGCCACCAAGCCCGACCUGGCGGCGUACGCGGCGCACCCGGCGCACGUCGCCGCCGUGCAGGGGCACGUCCUCCCCAACGCGCUCGACUCCACCGCCAUCGACUGGGUCAACGCCGCCCUGGUGCCGUCCCCGGUGAACCCGGGCUCCGCCGUGCGGCUCUCCCUGGCGAAGUUGAAGGAGGGUGUGGAGGCGCACCAGCUCGCGGAGAAG